AAGUGGCGCUCCGGGGAGAAGGUGGCUGCGGCUGCUGGGGCCGCUGCGCCGGCGGCGGUUCCCGAUGUGGAGGUCCGUCUUGGGUGGGGAGGCACCCAGGUCGCUGGUUCGAUGCAGAGGAAGAAACCACACCUAGCACGUAAAGCCCUGAAAAAAUAGAGCAAAUUUUAAAGGAACGUUGCUGGGUGCAGUGGCUCACACCUGUAAUCUCAGCACUUUGGGAGGCCAAGGCAGGAGGAUCACUUGAGGCCAGGAGUUGGAGACCAGCCUGGGCAACAUAGUGAGACCCCAUCUCUUUAAAAAAAAAAUGUGUGUGUGUGUGUGUGUGUGUGUAUUUUAUUUUUUUAAUUGGCCAGGUAUGAUGGUGUACACCUAUACUCCCAGCUACUUGGGAGACUGAGGUGAGAUGAUCACUUAAGGCCAGAAGAUCAAGGCUGCAGUGAGCUAUGAUUGUUCCACUGCUUUCUAGACAGGGUGACAGAGCAAGACUCUGACUCUAAAAAAAUAAAUAAGGUAAAAUAAAAAUAAGAAGCCCAGCACAGUGGUUUAUGCCAGUAAUCAUUCCCAACAUUUCAGGAGGCCAAGCAGGAGGAUCACUUGAGCUGAGGAGUUCAAGACUGGCCUGGGCAAGACAGUAAGACCAUCUCUACAAAAAAUAAACAAAAAAUUAGCCGGGCAUGGUGGUGCAUGCUUGUAGUUCCAGCUGCUUGGGAGGCUGAGGUGGGAGGAUUGCUUGAGCCUGGAAGGUCAUGGCUGUAGUGAGCCGAGAUCGCACCACUGCACUCCAGCCUGGGUAACACAGUGAGACCCUCUCUCAAAAUAAAUACAGUCAGGCAUAGUGGCUCAUGUCUGUAAUUCCAGCACUUUGGGAGACCAAGGCAGGCAGAUCAUUUGAGGCCAGGAGUUUGAGACCAGCCAGGCCAACAUGGUGUAACCCCAUCUCUACUGAAAAUACAAAAAAAUUAGCUGGUCGUGGUGGCACAUGCCUGUAGUCCCAGCUACUCAGGAGGCUGAGGCAGGAGAAUCACUUCAACCGGGGAGGUGGAGGUUGCAGUGAGCCGAGAUCAUGCCACUGCAUUCCAGCUUGGGCAACAGAGCAAGACUCCGUAUAAAAACAUAAAUAAAUUAAAAUGUUUUAAAAAGUUGUGGUCAAUCUUUAGGGUUAUCUUAAGUAUCUUUUUUUUUUUUUUCAAGACAGGGUCUGACUCUGCCGCCCAGACUAGGGUAUGGUAGUACAAUCAUGUAGCUAACUAUAAACUCAAUUUCCUAGGCUCACGUGAUCCUCCCGCCUCAGCCUCCUGAGUAAUUAGGACUACAGGUGUGCAUUACCACACCUGGCUAAUUUUAAAUGUGUGUGUGUAUGUAUAUAUAUACACAUAUAAGUGUGUGUGUGUGUGUAUAUAUAUACACGUGUGUGUGUGUAUAUAUAUAUGCAUGUAUGUAUGUGUGUGUGUGUGUGUAUAUAUAUAUAUGUAUGUAUAUGAAAUGGGGUCUCACUAUAUUGCCCAGGCUAGCCUUGAACUCUUGGCCUCAAGUGAUUCUCCAGCCUUGGCCUCCUAAGGUACUAGGAGGCAUGAGCCACCACAACUGGCCAAUAGAGAUCUUUUUGUUCUCCAAUUUUGCCAUGCUAAUUAAUAGAGAUACUAGGUGUGGUGGACUAAAUGGUGACCAAAAAGACAUGGCCUAAUCCCCAGAACCCAUUACUAUUCCCAUAUAUAGUAACAGACUGAAUAUUACCUUAUAGGGCAAAAUAUGUAGUUAAGAAUUUUAAGGGCCAGCAUGGUGGCUCAUGCCUGUAAUCCCAGCAUUUUGGGAGGUAGAGGUGGGUGAAUCACCUGAGGUCAGGAGUUCAAGCCCAGCCUGGCCAACAUGGCGAAACCCCAUCUCUACUAAAUAUACAAAAAUUAGCCAGGUGUGGUGGCCUGCACCUGUAAUCCCAGCUACUCAGGAGGCUGAGGUAGCUUGAACCCAGGAGGCAGAGGUUGCAGUGAGCCAAAAUUGUGCCACUGCACUCCAGCCUGGGCAACAGAGCGAGACUCCAUCUCAAAAAAAAAAAAUUGAGAGGAGUGUUAUCCUAGAUUUUCCAGGUGAGCUCUAAAUCCAGUAACAAGUGUCUGUACAAGAAUGAGGCAAAGAAAGAUAACACAGAUAGGAGGAAGCAAUGCCACCAUGACGACACAGACUGGAAUGACACCGUUAACAGCUGAGGAUGCCAAGAACCACCAGAAACUGGACGAGGCAAAAACAGAUUCUCCUCUAGAGCCUCUAGAGAGAGUAUAGCCCUGCUGACACCUUGAUUUUCUUCUGACCUCCAGCACUGUGAAAGAAUAAACUUCUGUUGUUUAAGCCACCCAGUUUACAGUAAUUUGUUGUAGCAGUCAUAUUUUAAGAAGAAAACUGGGGGAAUAAAUUUGGUGUAAGGAAAUGUUAUAGGAAAUCUAGGUCCACCUGCCUGGUUAUGGUGACAAAGGGUGAAUACUUUCCUAAGUUAGCAACAUCAGAAACAUCUUUAAAGUCUUUUUCUACAUGAAUUUCCUUAUUGGUUGCAGUGAUUUUAAAAUAUGUCCACAAAUUAUUUAAUUAUACCCCCUCCAAAAGUUGGAGCCUAAUUCUCCUCCCUUUGAGUAUGGAUUAUAUUUAUUGGCUUACUUCUAACAAUACAAUGUGGCAGAAGUGACCGUUUGUGACUUCCAAAAUUAGGACAUAAAAGACUUUGUGGCUUUCUCCUUGUUCUUUGACUUAGAUUAUUCGCUCUGGGAGAAGCCAGCUGUUGUGUCAUAAGGAUACUCAAGCUGCACUAUGCAAUGUCCACAUGGCAAAAACUCAGUCCUCUUGCCAACAGGAAACCCAAGAACUUGGGCUAUCUGAGCACAGUCAGCCUUAAAAUGACUGUAGUUCGGGGCCGGCCUUCAAGCGUCAGCAACGCAAGACGGCAGCCACCAUGGGCUCGGGAGUAAAAGUCCCUCACAAUUUCUGACUGUUGGAAGAACUCAGAGAAGGCCAGAAAGGAGUAGGAGAUGGCACAGUUAGCUGAGGUCUAGAAGAUGAUGAAGACAUGACAAAAGAUGGACAGGGAUGAUAAUUGGGCCUCCAAGAACAAUUUAUGAAAACCAAAUAUACAGCCUUAAAAUAGAAUGUGGACCUAAAUACCCACUAGCACCCCCCUUUGUAAGAUUUGUAACAAAAAUUAAUGUAAAUGGAGUUAAUAGUUCUAAUGGAGUAGUGGACCCAAGAGCCAUAUCAGUGCUAGCAAAAUGGCAGAAUUCAUAUAGCAUCAAAGUUGUCCUGCAAGAGCUUCAGUGCCUAUUGAUGUCUAAAGAAAAUAUGAAACUCCCUCAGCCACCGGCAGGACAGUGUUACAGCAAUUAAUCAAAAAGAAAAACCACAGGCCCUUCCGCUUCCCCCCGCCCGAUUCGAUUUAAGCAGUCUUCGUUUUCCACAGUAGUAAAUUUUCUAGAUACAUCAUGUAGACCUCAAAGUACUGGAAAGGAAGCUCCAAUUCAAAGGAAAUUUAUCUUAAGAUACUGUAAAUGAUACUAAUUAUCCAUUUGAAAUAUAUAAGUUUUGCUAUAACAAAUCAUCCUAUCAAGUGUAACCACUGUCCACGUAGUUGAACUUCUGGAAUCGAGAAAUUCUAAUUAAAUUGAUUCCCAUCAUAACUAGUGGGGCAUAUCUAACUCAACUGUGAAAAGAAACAUCACACAAUCACCUUGCUGAUUACAUGGCCUGGGGGUCUCUGCCUUCUCCCCUUACCCUCCUGCCUCCCACCCUCCCUGCAACAGCCCUCUAGCUUGGCUUGUUAGAGUGGAUGUGAAGGUUUCAGGUUGCAGCCUGUGGGACUACUGCUAGGUGUGUGGGGUGCUUCACCUGCACCCCUGGUUUCUUUAAGUCUUAUGCACCUUCCAAUCCGUCAUCCUGUCCCCACACUCCUCCACUCCUGCCUUUGGCAGAAGCAUAGGUUGUAACCCCUCCGCUCCCCUCUAAGAUUGGCCUUUGGUAAGGAAUUCAGGGCUUUCCCAGUAUCUUCUCUCCCCCACCUUUAUCGAGGGAUGCUGUUUUUUCUUCCCUCCUCAAGUUGCUUUCUGCACCAUCACCACUCAAUACCUUCCAUGACACUUCCUUGCUUUGGGCAGAAGCCAUCAGGUAAGGUUAGAAAGUCUCUAACCUCCCUUGUUUAGUUUUGGAACCAUACUUAUUCAUUCUCCAUCAGCCUGGGAAAUGAAUAUUGGGUUUUCAGCCCUGCCACCCUCUGCUGUCGUCAGCUGAUGCGUUGUUUUUAGCUCAGGUUUUGAUAAGGUGAAAAGGAAAGUCACCAGGGUUACUCAGACCUGCCAGCUCUCGGAGUCCUUGGUGGUUGAAAUUGGAGAAAGACCACAAGAAGACACUUGUAAGCACACGUGAUCCCUCUGAAUUGUUUUACUUCCUGUAAUUGCUUUUGCUUUUAAAAACUGAAGAAGUUUUAAACAGGGCUUUCAUUUGGUCAUCCUUGCAAUCCAUUGAGGUCUAGUUUGGAAUCUGACAACUGGAACAAAAAGAACCUUGAAUCCAGUGCGUGCCUUGGUUUUGGUGCUGCUGCUGCUUCUCAAGAUCCUCAGCAGGGAUUAAGAAAGAACCCAGUGUGCAUAGCAGAUCCCUGAAAUUGGCGGGCUUGACCUCCUGGGAAAUUGGUGUACAGUAGAGUUUUCCAGAGGCUACAUGACAUGCAGUAUCACAACGGAAGCAAAUAUAAGAACCCACCUGUCUCCUGUUAAAAUGCAAAAUGUAAAACAAUACCACUUUGCUAACUGUUUUUGUUUGGGGAAAUAUAGUUCAUAAAAAUAUUUAUGUUAACAUGUAAUUUAGGUUAAAAUAAAUUAAUAAAUAUUUGUAAAUUGUCUGUUUUAAUUUCUAAUAUGGUAAAUACAGAUAGAUAUAACCCAUAUAAACAAAACCUGUUUGGGGUCCUCAAUAAUAUUGAAGAGUGUUAUACAGGGGUCCUAAGGCCAAAGAAUUUGAUAAUGCUGCUCUAAGUCUUCCUUAUCCAUUAAAGUCCAAAUGAAAGCUGGGAACAGUAGCUAAUGCCUGUAACCCCAGUGCUUUGGGAGGCCGACAUAGGAGGAUUACUUGAGGCCAGGAGUUUGAGACCAGACAGGGCAACAUACGGAGACCCUGUUGCUACAAAAAUAAAUUUAAAACGUAGUUGGUCAUGGUGGCACAUGUCUGUAGUCCUAACUACUUGGGAGGCUGAGGCAGGAAGAUCACUUGAGCCUAGGAGCUUGAGGCUGCUAUGAUCCCGCCACUGCACUCCAGCCUGGGUGACAAAGCAAGACCCUGUCUCUGAAAAAAUAAAUAAAAUAGUUUUAAACUUAGAAAAAAAAGGUUCAUGUCAAAGCCUUCCUACUCGAUAAGACUUUUUGACCACUGCAACUAGAGAGGAUCUUGUCUGUCUCUGAAUACUACACACUUAUGGCACUUACACACUUAUGGCUCUUUUUUAUCAUUCAUCUAGUACAGACCUUGUGCCAAAAAGGAAUAUUGUUAUGUGGAUUCAGAGUGAUAAUUAAAGACAUGUGUUUGAUGGUGAAUCAUAAACAACCCUUUUACUUCGCAGUCUCUCUGAUUAGUCUUCCCAGC
RNAcentral lists this long non-coding RNA (5613 nucleotides) under Homo sapiens (human). RNAcentral describes it as "non-protein coding lnc-STK3-2:8". The record is from RNAcentral. Lineage: Eukaryota; Metazoa; Chordata; Mammalia; Primates; Hominidae.